RNAcentral lists this long non-coding RNA (1483 nucleotides) under Apteryx haastii (Great spotted kiwi). RNAcentral describes it as "lncRNA (ENSAHAG00000002693.1)". The record is from RNAcentral. Lineage: Eukaryota; Metazoa; Chordata; Aves; Apterygiformes; Apterygidae.
CCGUCAGCUGAUCGCACACGUGGGGCGCGCGGAGGACACUCUUAAAGGCGUACGCACACCCCGCCUCCCCCCGCACCCUCGACGGCGCCCCCUCGCCGAGGCCCGCACCUGCGGCGGGGGCGCCGCCGGGGCCCGUGGGCGGCGGAGGCGGCCAGCCCGGAGGCGGCCGCGGCCCUGGGAAGGGACGGGGAGGUGGCGCCAGGCGACCGUUACGGCGGCGCGUGCGGAGCCGAGGAGGUGUUAUCUACCUGGAAGCUUCUGGGCGAACCGGAGGAAGCUGUGCAGGCGCAGUUACUUGGUGCUGAAGCAGUAAUACAUCACUCUAAGAAUCGCUGCCUUUGGACACUACUCUGAAGGAGGAUCCUUCCAGUAAUAUUGUUCCAAAAUGACUGGAAUCCUGUGUCCAAGAGUGAGGACAGAUGAGAGCAGCAUACAAUGGAGCCUCUGUAUCCUUUAUACACAGUAAUAUGGCAACAGAUAGGUAUUGGGAUAAACUGAGAUAGAUACUAUGUACUGGGGUUCUGCUUGUUCAAAUCCAUUAACUUGUAGAAUUCCAUAUAAGGGACUACAACUAACAUUUUAGCCCCCAGGCCAGAGUAGGCAGCUGCAGAGAGUUAAGAGAAAGGAUUGCCUGAGUCUCAGAAGCUGAAGGUUGAUCAGUAAUUAAUUUAAAAAUCAAUAUCGCAUUCUGCUGUGGUGUAGCAAGGAAGCUGGCAGAACUCAGCAAGUGCAUUAGAGGGUUUUGCUUUUAAGAGCUGAUUCAAAAGAGGCAAAGAGGAACUGGGAGUGAGUUUAGGGGAUUUUGAUUGGGAAGGAUGACUGGAAAAAUGAGAGAGACAGGUAGAGGCUGUGGAAAGGACUCAGAUUACAGCAAAAAGGAAGGAGAAGAAUCGGUGAAGUUCUGGGGCUUUGUGGCAUCUCUCCACACACUCACUAGCCAUCAUGCCCGCAGAUGAUAGGAUACAGGACAAGUCCCUCAGCCUCCCCACUUCCCAGUAGCCUCUCCUCCCUCCAUAUUUCUCUCCAAAUCCUCCAUAGGACCUAGAGCCCUCUUCUUCCUUGCAACUUCCUUCUUCAUCUCAUUCAAUGGCUGUUGACUCUUAUCCUCCCCACAAAAAAACAUCUGAUUCUGCACAGACAGGUUAGGAGAGGGAUGGCCAGAAAUGAAAGGGCAAGUAGUUGUUCCUGGGGUUGGUGGCCAGUCCUCACACUAGCAGCCCAAAACUAAUACCCACCAAUUCCCCCCACAGCAAAUUUGAUUCCCAGAGAUCUUGCAAAACAGGCAGCAAGGUCACACACAGUUGUUUACUUUGGCUGUGCCUAGAAGUUUAACUUGCCCCUUACCCCUGAAAUUGGUGAGAAAAGCUUCCACUGCCUUCAGCUGAUUUCACUGGGUAAAAAACAAAUGAUUACGGUUGUCAGCAUUUUCCUUGGGUGUGUAGAGGAAGGUCAAUAAAGCCUUUAUUACCAUUGCUACUCUGCA